ACCCUGAAUAUCGAGACUACCGUCCAUUUUGUAACUCGCUUAUCUAGUUCAGGGUCUCAGGGGUCUGAGCAAAUGUAGAGGGGGCAACACGGAUAAGAACCAACCUACGACACCAGAGCUGAAGGCCGGACCACCAGUCAGUGUGCUACUACGAGACCACCAGUCAGACAAACAUGAAUUCCUAUCUAGCGUUAUAUACUUCUAUUGUUAAACGUGGAGUGAAAUACACAACACUGUAAGUCUGUGAGAAGUUCAUCAACACUGAGAUGAGUUUGUGAUGAAAUGAAAUAAAACAGAAAUGAAAAUAAAGAAAGGCAGGAAUUACAAAAAGAAAUCAUCAAAAUCAGUGAGGUGUCCUCUGUGAUAAAAUGGCUUCUCGUGAACUUCUCUGAGGGUCCACCUCACAGUCCUGAAACUCCGGCAGACUCGGUGGUCAGAGAUUGACACACACAGGUGGUCUGCUGCAGUGCUGGAGUCGGAGUGUGUUACAGAAAACACAAUAAUAAGUUUAAUACAUGAACAGAGUGCUAGAUGUGACAAAAGAACUGAAGAAACAGAAUUAAAAAAUGGACGACUUCACAGAAAUCAGUGCAAUUAAAAAUGACAACAGAAUACAGAAUUGAGUGUGAAUGGCACCCUCUUGUGGUCACGAAGUGUAAUUAAAAUAAUUAAAAAUGGACCCAAAUUCAUUAAUCC
This is a long non-coding RNA of Erpetoichthys calabaricus (reedfish), 696 nucleotides long. RefSeq lists it as uncharacterized. Lineage: Eukaryota; Metazoa; Chordata; Cladistia; Polypteriformes; Polypteridae. The transcript has 2 exons. The record is from RefSeq and is a predicted model, not a curated record.